This 720-nucleotide ribosomal RNA is filed under the name uncultured Staphylococcus sp. RNAcentral describes it as "bacterial SSU rRNA". It matches the Rfam family "Bacterial small subunit ribosomal RNA", at positions 61 to 763 of the family's 1533-position model. Lineage: Bacteria; Bacillati; Bacillota; Bacilli; Caryophanales; Staphylococcaceae. The record is from RNAcentral.
GUCGAGCGAACAGACGAGGAGCUUGCUCCUCUGACGUUAGCGGCGGACGGGUGAGUAACACGUGGAUAACCUACCUAUAAGACUGGGAUAACUUCGGGAAACCGGAGCUAAUACCGGAUAAUAUAUUGAACCGCAUGGUUCAAUAGUGAAAGACGGUUUUGCUGUCACUUAUAGAUGGAUCCGCGCCGCAUUAGCUAGUUGGUAAGGUAACGGCUUACCAAGGCAACGAUGCGUAGCCGACCUGAGAGGGUGAUCGGCCACACUGGAACUGAGACACGGUCCAGACUCCUACGGGAGGCAGCAGUAGGGAAUCUUCCGCAAUGGGCGAAAGCCUGACGGAGCAACGCCGCGUGAGUGAUGAAGGUCUUCGGAUCGUAAAACUCUGUUAUUAGGGAAGAACAAAUGUGUAAGUAACUAUGCACGUCUUGACGGUACCUAAUCAGAAAGCCACGGCUAACUACGUGCCAGCAGCCGCGGUAAUACGUAGGUGGCAAGCGUUAUCCGGAAUUAUUGGGCGUAAAGCGCGCGUAGGCGGUUUUUUAAGUCUGAUGUGAAAGCCCACGGCUCAACCGUGGAGGGUCAUUGGAAACUGGAAAACUUGAGUGCAGAAGAGGAAAGUGGAAUUCCAUGUGUAGCGGUGAAAUGCGCAGAGAUAUGGAGGAACACCAGUGGCGAAGGCGACUUUCUGGUCUGUAACUGACGCUGAUGUGCGAAAGCGUG